This 253-nucleotide ribosomal RNA is filed under the name uncultured prokaryote. RNAcentral describes it as "partial 16S ribosomal RNA". It matches the Rfam family "Bacterial small subunit ribosomal RNA", at positions 525 to 777 of the family's 1533-position model. The record is from RNAcentral.
ACGGGGGGGGCAAGCGUUGUUCGGAAUUACUGGGCGUAAAGGGCUCGUAGGCGGCCAACUAAGUCAGACGUGAAAUCCCUCAGCUUAACUGGGGAACUGCGUCUGAUACUGGAUGGCUUGGAUCCGGGAGAGGGACGCGGAAUUCCGGGUGUAGUGGUGAAAUGCGUAGAGAUCCGGAGGAACCCCAGAGGCGAAGGCGGCGUCCUGGCUCGCAUCUGACGCUCAGACACGACAGCAUGGGGAGCGAACGGGA